CCUACGGGGGGCAGCAGUGGGGAAUAUUGCGCAAUGGGCGAAAGCCUGACGCAGCGACGCCGCGUGAGGGAUGAAGGUCUUCGGAUCGUAAACCUCUGUCAGCAGGGAAGCACGGUCACUGUGCUAAUCAGCAGUGAAUUGACGGUACCUGCAAAGGAAGCACCGGCUAACUCCGUGCCAGCAGCCGCGGUAAUACGGAGGGUGCGAGCGUUAAUCGGAAUUACUGGGCGUAAAGCGCUCGUAGGCGGUAUGUCAAGUCAAGGGUGAAAGCCCCGGGCUCAACGUGGGAACUGCCGUUGAAACUGGCAAACUGGAGUGUGUGAGAGGAUAGUGGAAUUCCAGGUGUAGGAGUGAAAUCCGUAGAUAUCUGGAGGAACAUCAGUGGCGAAGGCGACUAUCUGGCACAUAACUGACGCUGAGGAGCGAAAGCGUGGGUAGCAAACAGGAUUAGAUACCCCAGUAGUC
This 465-nucleotide ribosomal RNA is filed under the name uncultured bacterium. RNAcentral describes it as "partial 16S ribosomal RNA". It matches the Rfam family "Bacterial small subunit ribosomal RNA", at positions 338 to 795 of the family's 1533-position model. The record is from RNAcentral.